Non-coding RNA from Schistosoma curassoni, 46 nucleotides. The record is from Rfam. NCBI's taxonomy places the organism in Eukaryota, Metazoa, Platyhelminthes, Trematoda, Strigeidida, Schistosomatidae.
GCACUGCUGAGGAGUCCCAUACUAGGACGAAACGGCCUUCCAGUGU